Molecule: long non-coding RNA, 1359 nt
Filed under: Homo sapiens (human)
Lineage: Eukaryota; Metazoa; Chordata; Mammalia; Primates; Hominidae
Description: HSALNT0407092
Source: RNAcentral
CUGUCUCAAAAAAAAAAAAAAAAAAAGAAAAAAAAAGUAUACACUGAUAAGAAUUCUUCAAAUUGAAGAUUAUGUUCUUAUGUCUACCCAGUCUUUCCUUUUUCCUUUCCUUCGGACUCCAACUAGAACAGCAAGGAGCAGAGACAAAGACAAACUAGUCCUUAAAAUGCUGUUAUGGAGACAAAAUGACACCAAACAAGUCCACUCUGUGAAUUGGUUAUGCUGUAAAUUAAUCUUUGUCUAAAUGGCCUUUGACAAACCGACUGACUCCUAGCUGACCUCCUUAGACAUACCCAGUAUCCCAAGUGAAGCUGUUUCAUCGUUUUUUGUUUGUUUGUUUUAAAGACAGGAGGUCUUUCUGUGUUGCCCAGGAUGGACUCCAAUUUCCUGGCUCAAGCGAUCCUCCUGCCUCCGCCUCCCAAGUAGCUGGGACUACAGGUGCUUGCCUGGCUUGCUUCACCAUUUUCAGUAAGAACGAUCAUGAUGCUGCUCACUGAAGUCAGCAGACUUCCUUUGUGGGGUUAAUGACUGCAGUGUGUUUUGAGGAAAAACAAAACAAAACAAAAAAAAACUACUCCAAUAUUUUGAGGAAAUACUUCUUUAAAUACUGGCCUCUGCCCUGACACUCCUUGCCUCCUAAUAUUGGCACCACCUCUGUUUCCUUACAAUAGAGUCUCAGAACAUGGGAUCAAUCUUAGACCCAAAGGAGGAUGCUUCUCAGAAACACUCUCUGUCCUGCCGUACGUCUGUCUAAACUCCUCUAGCAAUUCCGAUGUGAAAAGAAGAUGGAUGGAGAAGCACUGAUUCAGCCAUGGCUGACAUGUCGGAGUUGGAAUGGACAGUGCCCGGACCUCACAGUCUCAGAGAACUGGAGAAGAGUAAAGCUGAAGAGGGCAUCAUCUGGUUACAAAUGACAAGUCCAGGGCUCCAGCUUUGACCGCACCAUGUAACUUCAAAAUCGGUACCCAUUUCUGAACGCCCAUUCAAAAGCAAUUGGGUUAGCAAGAAGAAACAGGUCAACAAUAGAAUCCCCAAGGAAAAGAAAGUAUCUGAAGAAAAGAGAGCUCCAAGUGGGAGUGAGGAGUUAAAAACAAAACAAAACAAACAAAAAAGAAUAAAGUUGGUAUGGGGAUGGGAAUUUGCAAUGAAGGAGGGAAAAUAGGAAAGAAAAAAAAACCCAAGCUAACAUGUUCCUCAUUUCUACAACAUUAUCUCAUAGAAAUAGCAUUACUCACCUGACCGCGAGUUCAGAAAACAAAGUGGAGAACCUCUGUGCACACCUGAAAAUGAAAAAUAAAAAAUAAAAAGCAAAAUUAGACCAAUGGAAAGUGGACUUUCUUGACAGCAUAAUACUUCAAU